GUAGGUGGCAAGCGUUGUCCGGAAUUAUUGGGCGUAAAGCGCGCGCAGGUGGUUCUUUAAGUCUGAUGUGAAAGCCCCCGGCUCAACCGGGGAGGGUCAUUGGAAACUGGGGAACUUGAGUGCAGGAGAGGAAAGUGGAAUUCCACGUGUAGCGGUGAAAUGCGUAGAUAUGUGGAGGAACACCAGUGGCGAAGGCGACUUUCUGGCCUGUAACUGACACUGAGGCGCGAAAGCGUGGGGAGCAAACAGGGAUUAGAUACCCUGGUAGUCCACGCUGUAAACGAUGAGUGCUAAGUGUUGGGGGGGUUUCCGCCCCCUCAGUGCUGCAGCUAACGCAUUAAGCACUCCGCCUGGGAUACGGUCGCAAGACUG
This 372-nucleotide ribosomal RNA is filed under the name uncultured organism. RNAcentral describes it as "partial 16S ribosomal RNA". It matches the Rfam family "Bacterial small subunit ribosomal RNA", at positions 527 to 896 of the family's 1533-position model. The record is from RNAcentral.